RNAcentral lists this transfer RNA (89 nucleotides) under Chromatiales bacterium. RNAcentral describes it as "tRNA-Ser". Lineage: Bacteria; Pseudomonadati; Pseudomonadota; Gammaproteobacteria; Chromatiales. The record is from RNAcentral.
GGCAACUGGUUGAAAAAUAUAAAUCCAAUCAACGGCUGGGAUUUCUGAAAAUCCGCGUGUCGGCAGUUCGAUUCUGCCCCUGGCCACCA